GCACAGGUAAACAUCUUUCAUGCCCGAUCUUGUCUAGUCUUGGAAGCUAAGCAGGAUCAGGCCUGGUUAGUACUUGGAUGGGAGGCUGCCUGGGAAUACCGGGUGCUGUAGGCU
This is a ribosomal RNA of Loxodonta africana (African savanna elephant), 114 nucleotides long. Lineage: Eukaryota; Metazoa; Chordata; Mammalia; Proboscidea; Elephantidae. The record is from Ensembl.